Clostridium sp. CAG:253 is the source of this 75-nucleotide non-coding RNA. Lineage: Bacteria; Bacillati; Bacillota; Clostridia; Eubacteriales; Clostridiaceae. The record is from Rfam.
CGGGGUGUGGCUCAGUUUGGCUAGAGUACCUGAUUUGGGAUCAGGGGGUCGCAGGUUCGAAUCCUGUCACCCCGA